RNAcentral lists this ribosomal RNA (603 nucleotides) under Triticum aestivum (bread wheat). Its description in RNAcentral is "partial small subunit ribosomal RNA". The record is from RNAcentral. Lineage: Eukaryota; Viridiplantae; Streptophyta; Magnoliopsida; Poales; Poaceae.
AUGGAAUGUCUCAUGGAAUCGGUCACGGUCGCUUGCUCCAAUGCCAAUUAUGGAUGCGCCCAGAAGCUAACUUACUACCAGAAAGAAGAGCAUGAGAAGGCAUGCCCGAGCGCCCCAUGUUUCUGUGCGGCGUCCAGCUGCAGCUUUGCAGGGCCAACAGACGCCAUCCUUGAACAUUGUGCCUCCCAGCACAAGUGGCCGUGUACAACCAUCAAGUACUCCGAAGAUGUUGAGCUCUGCCUCGAACCAGGUCUACAUUUUCUUUGUACCAAAGACAGGGAAAUUUUCCUGCUCAACGUGGCACUAGAGCCAUGCGGGCAUGCCAUCUCUGUUGUCUGCAUCCAACCUAAAGCUAUAAACUCCAAGUUCAAGUGUAGGAUGUCCUAUGGUUCCUUUUUGAACGACUAUUAUCAGAGAUCAGUUUACAAAAUACGAAGCUCAUCCUUGUCUGAUGGGCUACCAAAGGGAUACAACUUAAUUCUGCCCAAGGAUGAGAUAACUGAUGAUGGAAAGGGUACCUUGCUUACGUUCUCCAUUGAUGAUCCUAAUCCUAAAGUAAAGGUGUGUGAGCCCAUAUGUCUGAAACCAGUACGCGAUGUAUGA